CCUACGGGGGGCAGCAGUGGGGAAUAUUGGACAAUGGGGGGAACCCUGAUCCAGCCAUGCCGCGUGUGUGAAGAAGGCCCUCGGGUUGUAAAGCACUUUCAGUGAGGAAGAACGCCUGGUGGUUAAUACCCAUCAGGAAAGACAUCACUCACAGAAGAAGCACCGGCUAACUCCGUGCCAGCAGCCGCGGUAAUACGGAGGGUGCGAGCGUUAAUCGGAAUUACUGGGCGUAAAGCGCGCGUAGGUGGCUUGAUAAGCCGGUUGUGAAAGCCCCGGGCUCAACCUGGGAACGGCAUCCGGAACUGUCGAGCUAGAGUGCAGGAGAGGAAAGUAGAAUUCCCGGUGUAGCGGUGAAAUGCGUAGAGAUCGGGAGGAAUACCAGUGGCGAAGGCGGCCUUCUGGACUGACACUGACACUGAGGUGCGAAAGCGUGGGUAGCAAACAGGAUUAGAUACCCUAGUAGUC
RNAcentral lists this ribosomal RNA (465 nucleotides) under Vreelandella stevensii. RNAcentral describes it as "partial 16S ribosomal RNA". It matches the Rfam family "Bacterial small subunit ribosomal RNA", at positions 338 to 795 of the family's 1533-position model. Lineage: Bacteria; Pseudomonadati; Pseudomonadota; Gammaproteobacteria; Oceanospirillales; Halomonadaceae. The record is from RNAcentral.